GUCCGCAUGGCUCAGUGGUCAGAGCAUCUGCUUAGUAAGCAGGAGACCCGGGUUCGAACUCUGGUCCGGCACA
Non-coding RNA from Schistocerca cancellata (South American locust), 73 nucleotides. Lineage: Eukaryota; Metazoa; Arthropoda; Insecta; Orthoptera; Acrididae. The record is from the annotation of a RefSeq genome assembly.